RNAcentral lists this ribosomal RNA (701 nucleotides) under uncultured bacterium. Its description in RNAcentral is "bacterial SSU rRNA". It matches the Rfam family "Bacterial small subunit ribosomal RNA", at positions 54 to 749 of the family's 1533-position model. The record is from RNAcentral.
CAUGCAAGUCGAACGCGAAAGGGGGGCAACCCCCGAGUAGAGUGGCGAACGGGUGAGUAAUACAUCGGAACGUGCCCAGUAGCGGGGGAUAACCUCUCGAAAGAGAGGCUAAUACCGCAUACGACCUACGGGUGAAAGAGGGGGAUCGCAAGACCUCUCACUAUUGGAGCGGCCGAUGUCGGAUUAGCUAGUUGGUGGGGUAAAGGCCCACCAAGGCGACGAUCCGUAGCUGGUCUGAGAGGACGACCAGCCACACUGGAACUGAGACACGGUCCAGACUCCUACGGGAGGCAGCAGUGGGGAAUAUUGGACAAUGGGCGAAAGCCUGAUCCAGCCAUGCCGCGUGUGUGAAGAAGGUCUUCGGAUUGUAAAGCACUUUAAGUUGGGAGGAAGGGCAUUUACCUAAUACGUAAGUGUUUUGACGUUACCGACAGAAUAAGCACCGGCUAACUCUGUGCCAGCAGCCGCGGUAAUACAGAGGGUGCAAGCGUUAAUCGGAAUUACUGGGCGUAAAGCGCGCGUAGGUGGUUCGUUAAGUUGGAUGUGAAAUCCCCGGGCUCAACCUGGGAACUGCAUCCAAAACUGGCGAGCUAGAGUAUGGUAGAGGGUGGGUGGAAUUUCCUGUGUAGCGGUGAAAUGCGUAGAUAUAAGGAAGGAACACCAGUGGCGAAGGCGACCACCUGGACUGAUACUGACACUGA